UUCACCACCUGUGAACUCUGACCACUCCCCUUUUCUCUGACACAGGCUCAUAAAACUAAAGGUACCACCAUGAACAAGGUGUCGUGAGCACAAGAGCAGGAUGGAUGUGGACAAUCUGCCAGACACGGGGCCUGAAAGACAAUGGUCCUGAUACUGGUGGAACCAGGAAAAUGGAGGACAAGCUCCGGAAGACAAAACCUAAUAGGCACUCCUCCUCCACAAUGGGCUCAAAUACUCAUGUAAUGAAAGCCGCCUGUUCUCCAUCUUCCUAGAGUUUCAAGAUGGGCGAACUUACAACAAGGAAAUCGAGGAUGGGCUCCAGCCUGCACCAUAUUCAUUUGACUAUAAGCUCAGCGAUUAAGAGUUUAGGCUCUGAGGUAAGAAUGCCUGGAUUCCACUUCUGGCUCUGGUACCAUAUGACCUCUGUAAGCCUCUGUUUCCUCAUCUGUAGUAUGGGCAUAAUGACGGCUCCUUCAUUGGCGGUUCACUGGAUUAAUGGGACUUCCAUCGAGAAAGCACUUCGCAUUGGGGCACCUGGGUGCCUCAGCCGUUAAGCAUCUGCCUUCGGCUCAGGUCAUGAUCCCAGGGUCCUGGGAUUGAGACCCGCACUGGGCUCCCUGCUCGGCAGGAAGCCUGC
Ailuropoda melanoleuca (giant panda) is the source of this 637-nucleotide long non-coding RNA. RefSeq lists it as uncharacterized. The transcript is spliced from 3 exons. Lineage: Eukaryota; Metazoa; Chordata; Mammalia; Carnivora; Ursidae. The record is from RefSeq and is a predicted model, not a curated record.